Molecule: ribosomal RNA, 651 nt
Filed under: uncultured Sphingomonadaceae bacterium
Lineage: Bacteria; Pseudomonadati; Pseudomonadota; Alphaproteobacteria; Sphingomonadales; Sphingomonadaceae
Description: bacterial SSU rRNA
Rfam family: Bacterial small subunit ribosomal RNA
Source: RNAcentral
AGGAUUAGAUACCCUGGUAGUCCACGCUGUAAACGAUGAUCACUAGACGUUAAACCUGCUCUGCAGGAUUAGUGUCGUAGCUAACGCGAUAAGUGAUCCGCCUGGGAAGUACGGUCGCAAGAUUAAAACUCAAAGGAAUUGACGGGGGUCCGCACAAGCGGUGGAACAUGUGGUUUAAUUCGACACUACGCGAGGAACCUUACCUAGGCUUGACAUAUAUGUGACCGCUGUGGAAACACAGUUUUUUAUGCGAAAGCAUAGACAGAUAUACAGGUGCUGCAUGGCUGUCGUCAGCUCGUGUCGUGAGAUGUUGGGUUAAGUCCCGCAACGAGCGCAACCCUCGCCUUUAGUUACCAUCAUUAAGUUGGGGACUCUAAAGGAACCGCCGGUGAUAAGCCGGAGGAAGGUGGGGAUGACGUCAAGUCCUCAUGGCCCUUACGCGCUGGGCUACACACGUGCUACAAUGGCGACUACAGUGGGCUGCGAACUCGCGAGGGUGAGCUAAUCUCCAAAAGUCGUCUCAGUUCGGAUUGUUCUCUGCAACUCGAGAGCAUGAAGGCGGAAUCGCUAGUAAUCGCGGAUCAGCAUGCCGCGGUGAAUACGUUCCCAGGCCUUGUACACACCGCCCGUCACACCAUGGGAGUUGGAUUC